GAUAAACGCUGGCGGCGUGCCUAAUACAUGCAAGUCGAGCGAACGGACGAGAAGCUUGCUUCUCUGAUGUUAGCGGCGGACGGGUGAGUAACACGUGGAUAACCUACCUAUAAGACUGGGAUAACUUCGGGAAACCGGAGCUAAUACCGGAUAAUAUUUUGAACCGCAUGGUUCAAAAGUGAAAGACGGUCUUGCUGUCACUUAUAGAUGGAUCCGCGCUGCAUUAGCUAGUUGGUAAGGUAACGGCUUACCAAGGCAACGAUGCAUAGCCGACCUGAGAGGGUGAUCGGCCACACUGGAACUGAGACACGGUCCAGACUCCUACGGGAGGCAGCAGUAGGGAAUCUUCCGCAAUGGGCGAAAGCCUGACGGAGCAACGCCGCGUGAGUGAUGAAGGUCUUCGGAUCGUAAAACUCUGUUAUUAGGGAAGAACAUAUGUGUAAGUAACUGUGCACAUCUUGACGGUACCUAAUCAGAAAGCCACGGCUAACUACGUGCCAGCAGCCGCGGUAAUACGUAGGUGGCAAGCGUUAUCCGGAAUUAUUGGGCGUAAAGCGCGCGUAGGCGGUUUUUUAAGUCUGAUGUGAAAGCCCACGGCUCAACCGUGGAGGGUCAUUGGAAACUGGAAAACUUGAGUGCAGAAGAGGAAAGUGGAAUUCCAUGUGUAGCGGUGAAAUGCGCAGAGAUAUGGAGGAACACCAGUGGCGAAGGCGACUUUCUGGUCUGUAACUGACGCUGAUGUGCGAAAGCGUGGGGAUCAAACAGGAUUAGAUACCCUGGUAGUCCACGCCGUAAACGAUGAGUGCUAAGUGUUAGGGGGUUUCCGCCCCUUAGUGCUGCAGCUAACGCAUUAAGCACUCCGCCUGGGGAGUACGACCGCAAGGUUGAAACUCAAAGGAAUUGACGGGGACCCGCACAAGCGGUGGAGCAUGUGGUUUAAUUCGAAGCAACGCGAAGAACCUUACCAAAUCUUGACAUCCUUUGACAACUCUAGAGAUAGAGCCUUCCCCUUCGGGGGACAAAGUGACAGGUGGUGCAUGGUUGUCGUCAGCUCGUGUCGUGAGAUGUUGGGUUAAGUCCCGCAACGAGCGCAACCCUUAAGCUUAGUUGCCAUCAUUAAGUUGGGCACUCUAAGUUGACUGCCGGUGACAAACCGGAGGAAGGUGGGGAUGACGUCAAAUCAUCAUGCCCCUUAUGAUUUGGGCUACACACGUGCUACAAUGGACAAUACAAAGGGCAGCGAAACCGCGAGGUCAAGCAAAUCCCAUAAAGUUGUUCUCAGUUCGGAUUGUAGUCUGCAACUCGACUACAUGAAGCUGGAAUCGCCAGUAAUCGUAGAUCAGCAUGCUACGGUGAAUACGUUCCCGGGUC
RNAcentral lists this ribosomal RNA (1371 nucleotides) under uncultured bacterium. Its description in RNAcentral is "16S ribosomal RNA". It matches the Rfam family "Bacterial small subunit ribosomal RNA", at positions 28 to 1380 of the family's 1533-position model. The record is from RNAcentral.